GUGGGGAAUAUUGGGCAAUGGGGGAAACCCUGACCCAGCGACGCCGCGUGAGGGAAGACGGCCUUCGGGUUGUAAACCUCUUUUGUACGAGAAGAAGGAAGUGACGGUACUGUACGAAUAAGUCCCGGCUAACUACGUGCCAGCAGCCGCGGUAAUACGUAGGGGACGAGCGUUGUCCGGAAUUACUGGGCGUAAAGGGCGCGCAGGCUGUGCUGCAAGUCAGCUGUGAAAUGUCUGGGCUUAACCCGGGCAUGCGGUUGAGACUGCAGUGCUGGGUUGCUGUAGAGGCAAGUGGAAUUCCCAGUGUAGCGGUGAAAUGCGUAGAUAUUGGGAAGAACACCGGUGGCGAAGGCGACUUGCUGGGCAGCAACUGACGCUGAGGCGCGAAAGCCAGGGGAGCAAACGGGAUUAGAUACCCUUGUAGUCC
Molecule: ribosomal RNA, 427 nt
Filed under: uncultured bacterium
Lineage: Bacteria
Description: partial 16S ribosomal RNA
Rfam family: Bacterial small subunit ribosomal RNA
Source: RNAcentral